AAAAAAGUCCCCUGUUAGUUUUUAAAAUGUAUAAUACUAAAUGAAUACAUAUACUAAACGGAGACGAAUAGAUGAUACUGAACUGAAACAUCUUAGUACUGUACAAAGAUUGGCUAGAUAGUAAAGGCGAUUGAACUCAAGCCCAGACUUCUUGAUCAAAUAAGUCCUUGGAUUUUAUUUAUAGCGUGAGUACUGUGAAGGAAAUUAAUACAUUGAACCCAUAACCCUUGUUUUACAAUUACCUUUUGUAUAAUGGGUUUACAAGAAUUAAUAUAGGCAAGUUUGUAUACUAUUUAAUAAGUAUAAGUCUAUUUAACCCGAAACCGUGUGAUCUAAUUGUGAUCAACAGGAAGUGUUAAUUGAUGAGUGUAGAAUAACUCUCAAAUGAAUUGCAAUUAGCGGCGAAAAACUAAUCGAACUCGGAUAUAGCUGGUUACCUGUGAAACUUAUUUUAGUAAUAAAUCCUUUUAGGAUAUUUAGAUUAUUGAUUACAACAUCAGUACUCGAAAGGGUAACAACCUUAACCAAGAAAAAAUAAGCUAGUUGAACAAUUUGAAUAAAUGUAAACCAUUGAAACCCAAAGAAUUUAGGCUUAGAAACAGCCAGGUUAUUAUGAUAACGUAAAAGUUCACUUUAAUAAAGGGAUACCUUAUAAAUAUAGCUCUAGUUCAUUAAAAUUUUUGGAUUAAAAUAGUAACAGGUCAUCCCAAUUGUCAAAUCUAUUGGGUGUGAUAAUGUAAACAUGAUUAAAACUUAUUUAUUUCUGAGAUUUCUUAUUUUAAGUUUUGAUUAAGGUUAUACGGCACCUCACUAAACCAGGGUGUGUUAUUUCAGAUUCUAGAAAAUGAAUAGAAACUUACCGUAUUUAACUAAAUCAAGAGGACGUAGAUAAAAGGUUUAAUUUUCUUUAAGGAACUCGGCAAACUAAGAUGCCGUCUGUUUACCAAAAACAUAGCUUUUAUAUAAACUCAAAGUGAUACCUGCCCAGUGGUUUGUAAUAUAAGGCAUUAACUUUGCUUUUAUUAAACUAAACGGACGCGGUAACCUGACCGUGGUAAUGUAGCAUAAUCAGUCGCCAUUUAAUUGUUGGAUAGUAUGAAUGGUUUAACGAGCAUCUCACUGUCUUGAAGAGAAACCCUGUGAAAUUGGAUUAGUAGUUAAGAUACUACUUAAAAUUGUAAGACGAAAAGACCCUAUAGAGCUUAACUAAAGCAUCUUUCUACUAAAUGAAUUAAUAGAUUCUGUUAUGAUAGGUGUUGUUAGUUUGGUUGGGGCGACCGCCUUCUAUAAUAAACGAAGGUAUUCAAAGUUAAUAUUAGAAUUUAUUGUAUAACCCAUGAGUUUAACAAUUACUAAAGUAGGUUAUAAUGACCCGUUGUGUGUGUGAAAAAACCCCAACGAUAAAUAGAUAAAAGCUACCUUAGGGAUAACAGGAUAAUUUAAUCUUAGAGACCUUAUCGAAGCUUAAGUUUGUCACCUCUAUGUUGAAUUAAGAUAUCCCAAUAGCGCAGAAGUUAUUAAAGGUGGGUCUGUUCGACCCUUAAAAUCUUACAUGAUUUGAGUUCAUUCCGUCGCGAGACAGGAAGGUUUCUAUCUACAAUUUGUUAAAUUAAAACCACCUAGUACGAAAGGAAAGGUGAUGUUUAAAACUAAUAAUCUUAGUUUUUAUUAGGUGGCUGAUAACUUAUAAGCCCCAAGUGAAUCUUUAACUCCCCACCAGCUCACCACACUUAUAACGAACUACCAUUUAUAUUUU
RNAcentral lists this ribosomal RNA (1756 nucleotides) under Physalia physalis. RNAcentral describes it as "16S ribosomal RNA". The stretch from base 185 to 1728 matches the Rfam family "Bacterial large subunit ribosomal RNA". Lineage: Eukaryota; Metazoa; Cnidaria; Hydrozoa; Siphonophorae; Physaliidae. The record is from RNAcentral.